RNAcentral lists this transfer RNA (77 nucleotides) under Vibrio phage 150E35-1. RNAcentral's name for it is "tRNA-Met". It matches the Rfam family "tRNA". Rfam says of the family: Transfer RNA (tRNA) molecules are approximately 80 nucleotides in length. Their secondary structure includes four short double-helical elements and three loops (D, anti-codon, and T loops). Lineage: Duplodnaviria; Heunggongvirae; Uroviricota; Caudoviricetes. The record is from RNAcentral.
GGUCCCUUAGCUCAGAUGGUUAGAGCAGCAUCCUCAUAAGAUAUUGGUCACUGGUUCGAGUCCAGUAGGGAUCACCA